UGUAUUAAUGGCUAUAUUGAU
RNAcentral lists this non-coding RNA (21 nucleotides) under Caenorhabditis elegans. The record is from RNAcentral. Lineage: Eukaryota; Metazoa; Nematoda; Chromadorea; Rhabditida; Rhabditidae.